Molecule: unclassified non-coding RNA, 239 nt
Filed under: Hevea brasiliensis (rubber tree)
Lineage: Eukaryota; Viridiplantae; Streptophyta; Magnoliopsida; Malpighiales; Euphorbiaceae
Source: RNAcentral
AGUGGAUUUGCCAGCGCACCAGAAUAGCCAGCAGAGUGAAUAGCCUCUAAAAGCAAAUUUUGCGGAUUGUCAGCAAUUUCUUUCAACUCUGCCUUCAAUUUCUUCAACUGUUCGUUAACCUCCCACUCGAGGAAAACAGGAUUCCUGACACUAUCAAUAAGCACCUCAACCAUUUCUGGCAUGUGUGUCUUCAGAGCAUCAUAAGUAUAGCCCAUCUGUUCACGAGAAGCCGACGCCGA